UACGUAGGGGGCUAGCGUUGUCCGGAAUUAUUGGGCGUAAAGAGCUCGUAGGCGGUGUGUCGCGUCGGCCGUGAAAACCUGUGGCUUAACUAUGGGCUUGCGGUCGAUACGGGCAUCACUGGAGUUCGGCAGGGGAGACUGGAAUUCCUGGUGUAGCGGUGAAAUGCGCAGAUAUCAGGAGGAACACCGGUGGCGAAGGCGGGUCUCUGGUCCGAUACUGACGCUGAGGAGCGAAAGCGUGGGGAGCGAACAGG
This 254-nucleotide ribosomal RNA is filed under the name uncultured bacterium. Its description in RNAcentral is "partial 16S ribosomal RNA". It matches the Rfam family "Bacterial small subunit ribosomal RNA", at positions 524 to 776 of the family's 1533-position model. The record is from RNAcentral.